This 414-nucleotide ribosomal RNA is filed under the name uncultured bacterium. Its description in RNAcentral is "bacterial SSU rRNA". It matches the Rfam family "Bacterial small subunit ribosomal RNA", at positions 29 to 450 of the family's 1533-position model. The record is from RNAcentral.
AACGAACGCUGGCGGCGUGGAUAAGACAUGCAAGUCGAACGAGAGAAUUGCUAGCUUGCUAAUAAUUCUCUAGUGGCGCACGGGUGAGUAACACGUGAGUAACCUGCCCCCGAGAGCGGGAUAGCCCUGGGAAACUGGGAUUAAUACCGCAUAGUAUCGAAAGAUUAAAGCAGCAAUGCGCUUGGGGAUGGGCUCGCGGCCCAUUAGUUAGUUGGUGAGGUAACGGCUCACCAAGGCGAUGACGGGUAGCCGGUCUGAGAGGAUGUCCGGCCACACUGGAACUGAGACACGGUCCAGACACCUACGGGUGGCAGCAGUCGAGAAUCAUUCACAAUGGGGGAAACCCUGAUGGUGCGACGCCGCGUGGGGGAAUGAAGGUCUUCGGAUUGUAAACCCCUGUCAUGUGGGAGCAAA